CGUACAUAGAUACCAUGCUGAAAUGGUUUAGCAUAAAAAAUUUCUAGAAAGGCUAUCUUUUGAUAGGCCAUAGAAUUUCUCUCUCGAAGAAGGAUUGUCCGACAAUCCCUCAAGAGAGAGAAAGCAUGUAAGAAGAAUUCUAUAUGCCUCGAUAAUGGAUUCUAUAAUGUACAUCAUGACAUGAUGAGAUCGGAUGUGGUAUACUCACUAGGGGUAGUGAGCAGAUACCAGUCAGAUCUGGAUGAGAACUAUUGAAAAGUUGCAAAAACC
This 270-nucleotide long non-coding RNA is filed under the name Elaeis guineensis (African oil palm). RNAcentral describes it as "long non-coding RNA (EGUI_LNC044672)". The record is from RNAcentral. Lineage: Eukaryota; Viridiplantae; Streptophyta; Magnoliopsida; Arecales; Arecaceae.